UACGAAGGGGGCUAGCGUUGUUCGGAAUUACUGGGCGUAAAGCGUAUGCAGGCGGAUCGCUAAGUCAGGGGUGAAAUCCUGGAGCUCAACUCCAGAACUGCCUUUGAUACUGACGAUCUUGAGUUCGGGAGAGGUGAGUGGAAUUCCGAGUGUAGAGGUGAAAUUCGUAGAUAUUCGGAAGAACACCAGUGGCGAAGGCGGCUCACUGGCCCGACACUGACGCUGAGAUGCGAAAGCGUGGGGAGCAAACAGG
This 253-nucleotide ribosomal RNA is filed under the name uncultured bacterium. Its description in RNAcentral is "partial 16S ribosomal RNA". It matches the Rfam family "Bacterial small subunit ribosomal RNA", at positions 524 to 776 of the family's 1533-position model. The record is from RNAcentral.